RNAcentral lists this ribosomal RNA (445 nucleotides) under uncultured bacterium. RNAcentral describes it as "partial 16S ribosomal RNA". It matches the Rfam family "Bacterial small subunit ribosomal RNA", at positions 354 to 796 of the family's 1533-position model. The record is from RNAcentral.
GUGAGGAAUAUUGCGCAAUGGAGGCAACUCUGACGCAGCCAUGCCGCGUGCAGGAAGAAGGCGCUACGCGUUGUAAACUGCUUUUAACCGGGAAGAAACCCCAGGACGUGUCCUGGGUUGACGGUACCGGAGGAAUAAGCACCGGCUAACUUCGUGCCAGCAGCCGCGGUAAUACGAAGGGUGCAAGCGUUAUCCGGAUUCAUUGGGUUUAAAGGGUGCGUAGGCGGAGCGUUAAGUCAGUGGUGAAAUCCUGCAGCUUAACUGUAGACUUGCCAUUGAUACUGGCGCUCUUGAGUGCGCUUGAAGUGGGCGGAAUGUGCCGUGUAGCGGUGAAAUGCUUAGAUAUGGCACAGAACACCAAUUGCGAAGGCAGCUCACUAAGGCGAUACUGACGCUGAGGCACGAAAGCGUGGGGAUCGAACAGGAUUAGAUACUCGGGUAGUCC